CUCCGGUUGAUCCUGCCGGACCCGACUGCUAUCAGAGUGGGACUAAGCCAUGCGAGUCGACGUAGCAAUAUGUGGCAUACGGCUCAGUAACACGUAGUCGACAUGCCCAGGGGACGUGGAUAACCUCGGGAAACUGAGAAUAAACCACGAUAGGUCACGAUUUCUGGAAUGGAUCAUGGCCUAAAUCUACAUGGCCCCUGGAUUGGACUGCGGCCGAUCAGGCUGUUGGUGAGGUAAUGGCCCACCAAACCUAUAACCGGUACGGGCUCUGAGAGGAGAAGCCCGGAGAUGGGCACUGAGACAAGGGCCCAGGCCCUAUGGGGCGCAGCAGGCGCGAAACCUCUGCAAUAGGCGAAAGCCUGACAGGGUUACUCUGAGUGAUUUCCGCUAAGGGGAUCUUUUGGCACCUCUAAAAAUGGUGCAGAAUAAGGGGUGGGCAAGUCUGGUGUCAGCCGCCGCGGUAAUACCAGCACCCCGAGUGGUCGGGACGAUUAUUGGGCCUAAAGCAUCCGUAGCCGGUUCUGCAAGUCUUCCGUUAAAUCCAGCCGCUCAACGGAUGGGCCGCGGAGGAUACUACAGGACUAGGAGGCGGGAGAGGCAAGCGGUACUCAGUGGGUAGGGGUAAAAUCCGUUGAUCCAUUGAAGACCACCAGUGGCGAAGGCGGCUUGCCAGAACGCGCUCGACGGUGAGGGAUGAAAGCUGGGGGAGCAAACCGGAUUAGAUACCCGGGUAGUCCCAGCUGUAAACGAUGCAGACUCGGUGAUGAGUUGGCUUAUUGCUAACUCAGUGCCGCAGGGAAGCCGUUAAGUCUGCCGCCUGGGGAGUACGGUCGCAAGACUGAAACUUAAAGGAAUUGGCGGGGGAGCA
This 868-nucleotide ribosomal RNA is filed under the name uncultured archaeon. RNAcentral's name for it is "bacterial SSU rRNA". It matches the Rfam family "Archaeal small subunit ribosomal RNA", at positions 1 to 878 of the family's 1478-position model. The record is from RNAcentral.